GCAAUGUGCAGCACCAUCUAAUGGAUUUUUUUCUUUCUUUAGUACCCCAUUAAAACAGCCUAAGACAGAAAGGGAACAAAAGGUUAAAAGAAAAUUAGCUCUUGGACAGCUGGUCCAUAACAGAAGGAAUCAUCAGAAGGGGAUAUUGAGCAAGAAUGUUGAUGCUGCAGACAGUUCAACCAAAGAAUCUGAGCUGAGCCAUUCAGAUUACAGAAGCUCAGGGAAUGAAUCAGACCUUGAUGGGUGUGUUGUGGAACACUCCCAAAGUCAAGACUUGUUCAGCAAUUCAGAUAGCAGAAGCUCUGGGGAUGAAUCAGACCUUGACGAGUUUGUUGUGGAAGACUCCCAAAGUCAAG
Long non-coding RNA from Pocillopora damicornis (cauliflower coral), 356 nucleotides. Lineage: Eukaryota; Metazoa; Cnidaria; Anthozoa; Scleractinia; Pocilloporidae. The record is from RefSeq and is a predicted model, not a curated record.